This 626-nucleotide ribosomal RNA is filed under the name uncultured Russulaceae. RNAcentral's name for it is "LSU rRNA". It matches the Rfam family "Eukaryotic large subunit ribosomal RNA", at positions 47 to 649 of the family's 3401-position model. The record is from RNAcentral. Lineage: Eukaryota; Fungi; Basidiomycota; Agaricomycetes; Russulales; Russulaceae.
UAAGCGGAGGAAAAGAAACUAACAAGGAUUCCCCUAGUAACUGCGAGUGAAGCGGGAAAAGCUCAAAUUUAAAAUCUGGUGGUCUUUGGCCAUCCGAGUUGUAAUUUAGAGAAGCGUCUUCCGCGCUGGNCCGUGCACAAGUCUCCUGGAAUGGAGCGUCACAGAGGGUGAGAAUCCCGUCUUUGGCAUGGACACACCAGGGCUUUUGUGAUGCGCUCUCGAAGAGUCGAGUUGUUUGGGAAUGCAGCUCAAAAUGGGUGGUGAACUCCAUCUAAAGCUAAAUAUUGGCGAGAGACCGAUAGCGAACAAGUACCGUGAGGGAAAGAUGAAAAGCACUUUGGAAAGAGAGUGAAACAGUACGUGAAAUUGUUGAAAGGGAAACGCUUGAAGUCAGUCGCGUCGACCGAGACUCAGCCUUGCCUUGGCUUGGUGUACUUCUCGGCCGACGGGUCAGCAUCAAUUUUGCCCCUUGGAUAAUGAUGAGGGAAACGUGACACCUUUAUGGUGUGUUAUAGUCUCUUGUCGCAUGCAAGGGUCGGGAUUGAGGAACUCAGCACGCACCUUUGGGUGUCGNGGCUUUGCCCACGAUACGUGCUUAGGANGNNGNCGUAAUGGCUUAAACGACC